GCUUACGGCCAUACCACCCUGAGCAAGCCCGAUCUCGUCUGAUCUCGGAAGCUAAGCAGUGUCGGGCCUGGUUUGUACUUGGAUGGGACACCGCCUGGGAAUACCAGGUGCUGUAAGCU
RNAcentral lists this ribosomal RNA (119 nucleotides) under Betta splendens (Siamese fighting fish). The record is from RNAcentral. Lineage: Eukaryota; Metazoa; Chordata; Actinopteri; Anabantiformes; Osphronemidae.